GCUACGGUUCCCGAGCGGUCAAAGGGGCAGGUCUUAAGAUCCUGUGCGUUAGCUUCGUGGGUUCGAAUCCCACCCGUAGUACCU
Molecule: transfer RNA, 84 nt
Filed under: Flavobacteriales bacterium
Lineage: Bacteria; Pseudomonadati; Bacteroidota; Flavobacteriia; Flavobacteriales
Description: tRNA-Leu
Rfam family: tRNA
About the family: Transfer RNA (tRNA) molecules are approximately 80 nucleotides in length. Their secondary structure includes four short double-helical elements and three loops (D, anti-codon, and T loops).
Source: RNAcentral